AUUUUUACUAACAAGGUAGUACAAAAUUUUUAAUAAACCUUUCAUUAAUUGGCGGCAUUCCAUCCCCUUAGAGGAACAUGUUUUUUAAUCGAUAAUACACGCUUAUUCCCACUUAAUUUCAAAUUUUAUAUACCACCAUCCAAAGUUUAUUACAAAAUAUUCUUUAAAUAUAAUUCUUAGAGGUUAGGUAAAGGUGUAAAAUAUAAAUAAGUUUAAAUGUGUUACAUUAAACAUCAUUUAAGGAAUUUCACUCAAAAUUUUUAAGAAAAGGGAUUUAACAGUAUGCUUUUUUCAAUAUAAUAAAUUGAACAGGAAAAUUAAUGUGU
Molecule: ribosomal RNA, 326 nt
Filed under: Ero sp. GH1258
Lineage: Eukaryota; Metazoa; Arthropoda; Arachnida; Araneae; Mimetidae
Description: partial 12S ribosomal RNA
Source: RNAcentral